UGGAGUGCGGACAGCUUUUUCCUCCCUUCAGCCUGUCAGAGACCCAGAGCAGUGGAGUGGGGAAGCGGCGAAGUUGUGGAACAGCAGCUGCAGUGCUGAGCUGCGCUGCACCGUUUGAGGGGCUGGCAACCACGACCACAUGAUUGGCCUAAUGAUACAGUGAAAGCUGGAUAUGGGCCUGGUCUGGAAGCAGCAAAUGGGUGUUCUGAUCCAAUAUACAGGCUGGGGAGCACAUGGCCCCGUGGAGCAGAAACAGAGCCUUAGAAGGAUGAAUAUGAACUCAGCCUGGAUGCCUGAUCAGCUAGUAAAUCAGUCUAGAAGCAUUUGGAAAAUCUGACCUAAAGAUUGGAGAAAGGGUUUUAGAACAAAGGAUCGGCCCCAUCUGGACCCUGCCUUCCUCCUCCACACGCCACAUGAUUUCAUGAUAUGACAACAUUUUCCAGGGCAGAUAUCUUCACUUCCUUCAGCAAGGCAGAAUGCAUAAUGGAUACAGCAUGAGAUUUGGGUUCCAGCCAUCCUCAUUCAUCUUCUUAGUCAUCGCUCAGAUUGGAGAUUUCUGCCUCCUCAGAGAUUACUUCGCAGCCUGUACUAGGUCCCCUUUCUUCUCUCUCAAAGUACUUGGUAUUUUACUUCAAAGCACUUAUCAGCGGUGUGCCUUUAUAUUUACUUGCAUGAUUAUUGAGCAAUGCCUGUCUUUCCUACUAGACUUUCUGCAUCAUGUAAGAAAAAACCAUGAUUGUUUACCAUUUUAACCCAUUCCACAUCACAGGCUCUGGCACAUAGUAAGUAUAAAAUAAAAUAAAAAUUUUAAAGGUAAAAUAAAAUACAUAAAGGUUUUUCUUCCCAUUCAUGCUUUCCUAUAACUCAUAAGGCAGGCAGUAUGAACUAAAGACUACUUGGUAAAAUGUUUUGAAUAAAUGACAAUGUCUUUUAGAAUUUUCAAGGUUGAAGAUUUCCACAGAGAAACAAAUUUACAGAUUUCUGUUUCAAAUUUUCAGGCAGUUCACAAUAUAUGGAGCCCUUCGGAGGUGUGUCAGUUCCGAGGAACAGGGCGCAGCAGUAAGAGAGAGUCUUUGGGAGUAGGAGGGGGAGGGAGGGUGACAAGUAGUGCAUCACUCUUGCUCAAAAGAGAUGGCAACUGCAGAUCCCAAUUGCAAUGCUGUAUUUAACUUUGGGCGUUCAGCUUUAAAAGGGAUGUUGACAAACUAGGGGAUGAUAUGGGGACAAUAAAAACUGGUAAUGUCAUUGAGGGAUGGUUGGAAAAAUACGUUUUAAAAGAAUUCAGGUUGGGGAACAGGUAUAAUUGUCUCCAACUAUUAAAAGAGUUGUGAUGUAAAAGAAGAAUUAACCUUUCCUAUGGUCCCCAAAGCAGAAUAAGGAACAAUUCAUGUCAGUUAAACGGAAUAGCUGGCACUGUCUGAGGAUGGAAGGGAAGUCUUGUAACACCGUGAACUUGUUCCACUGGUGUUUACCCAGAGUCUGCUAUUGCACUUGGGAGUAAUGCCGACCUAGAGGAGAGGCUGCGUUUUAGGGCUCUGUGGCACUUGGCAGAGCCCUGCCCUUAGCACCAGAUGGCAGGCAGCGAACCUGCCAGUACUCAGCUCAUACUCGUUUGUGGAACAGAAAAGGAACCACCUGUAUCACAGGCUCUGUGGGUACAAUAUGACAAUUUCUAAAAUUUGAAAGCACAUUCCGAGACUUAAAUUUGUGUUGGGCUAACUAAAUAUCAGGCAUUAUUAAAUGAAGAUGUCUUAAUUUCAAACUUUGACUGUUAUACACAUACAAGCCAGGGCUGUCAUUUUCUCUUUCCAUGCGUCUGAUUCAGUCUCUUCUAUCCAUUGCUGUCUGAGUCCUUACUCCUUGAUCCUGCUCAACUAUGCCAACUGCUGGGUGCACAGGUCCUUCUUUGCUGGGGGACACUGGGGAGUGGAUGAAGGAAGAAGACAUGAGAAGUCAUAGGCAUAUAGGAGAGUCUUUACUGCAGACCAAGUAGCCAUUGCUACGAAGGAGCCUUCAGACAAAAUAGUUCUUCAAAGUUGCCUCAUAAAGUAGCCGCACAAACAUAGCAGCCAUUGCUAACAAAGCAGUCCAGCCAAGCAGCCUAGCUCUACAUAAAAGCAUCCUCAUACCAGCUGGUCAGUAACACACUUUAUACCAACUUAGACAAAAGAGGCUUCUUGCCAAAUAGUGAAAUCAGUAUUUGGGUUAUAGAAAAAUACACCUGUGCAGUGUACACAGUACAAUCAUUGUGUCCUUGCUCAGAUUGGCUUUGAAUAUCUGGCAUACUCUCUGGACAGGGCCCCCACAAUUGCCUAACUCCCCACACUUACCAGAACAUUUGGGAGGAAUGCUUUUUCAAAGAAUAUUGUGUCCUGUACUCCAACUUGUGCCAAAAACACUGUUAUAUGGUUUCCAAAUUCUGUAUUAUAGUCC
Molecule: long non-coding RNA, 2433 nt
Organism: Myotis myotis
Lineage: Eukaryota; Metazoa; Chordata; Mammalia; Chiroptera; Vespertilionidae
Exons: 5
Source: RefSeq, a predicted model, not a curated record